This 73-nucleotide transfer RNA is filed under the name Bos taurus (domestic cattle). It matches the Rfam family "tRNA". From Rfam's summary of the family: Transfer RNA (tRNA) molecules are approximately 80 nucleotides in length. Their secondary structure includes four short double-helical elements and three loops (D, anti-codon, and T loops). The record is from Rfam by way of RNAcentral. RNAcentral also lists the same sequence under 5 other names. Lineage: Eukaryota; Metazoa; Chordata; Mammalia; Artiodactyla; Bovidae.
UCCCUGGUGGUCUAAUGGUUGAGACUCUGCACUUCCAAGGCAGGGAGCACAGGUUCCAUCCCUGGUCAGGAAA